GGAGGCGGCGAGCGUUGUUCGGAAUUACUGGGCGUAAAGAGCGUGUAGGCGGUUGAACAAGUCAGAUGUGAAAUCCCUCGGGCUCAACCGAGGAAGUGCAUUUGAAACUGCUCAGCUUGAGUACGGGAGAGGAGAGCGGAAUUCCCGGUGUAGAGGUGAAAUUCGUAGAUAUCGGGAGGAACACCAGUGGCGAAGGCGGUUUUCUGGCCCGAUACUGACGCUGAGACGCGAAAGCGUGGGUAGCAAACAGGAUUAGAUACCCUGGUAGUCCACGCUGUAAACGAUGAGAACUAGCUGUUGGGGAGCGAAGACUUUUCAGUAGCGUAGCUAACGCACUAAGUUCUCCGCCUGGGGACUACGGCCGCAAGGCUA
Molecule: ribosomal RNA, 372 nt
Filed under: uncultured organism
Description: partial 16S ribosomal RNA
Rfam family: Bacterial small subunit ribosomal RNA
Source: RNAcentral